This is a long non-coding RNA of Equus caballus (horse), 1960 nucleotides long. NCBI's taxonomy places the organism in Eukaryota, Metazoa, Chordata, Mammalia, Perissodactyla, Equidae. The record is from Ensembl.
UACACUUUAAAAAAGGUUCUACCAUAUCAUUUCUUACAAGCAUUAAAAAUGUUUGGAAGAUAUGGAAAAAAAAGAAAUGUUUUGAUAUUCUUAGGGGAUUUUCCAGGGAAAAUGUUAGCAAAAGCUGACCUUUUGUAUCAAAUUUUACCCACACAAAUGGGUUCUUCACUGCCAACUUGAUUUUAAGAGGGCCUAAAAAUGUUAUCUAGAAUAAAAAUUAAUUCAAAUGAUGCAUGUCGACAUAUUGCUUGCAUUUUGCAUCAUACAUAUUUUCACAAAUCCCUGGAUAUAACACAACAAAUAGCAUAGGAAGACUCUGAAAGGUGGAAAGAAAAAGCUGGACUGCAUAGUCCUUGGGACUUGAGGAAUGGUACAACAGUGAAUUCUGUGUCCUUAUUAUCUCCUAUAUCUCCUGGUCAGGGCUCUCAGAGGCCUCUAAUCCAGAAUUGCCAAUAGCCGCAGACAAAAUAAAAUGAAAAAAAAAAGUCCUUUUCCCUAGCUAAAGGACCAGGAAAAGUUUCAUUUAACAAUAAAAAAUCAUUUUGGAAAUAUCCACACUACUCCAGCCAAACAUCAAUGAAAAACACCACCUCCCACCUCCAGGAUGUCAAUGGGGUUGAGUGGGAAUUUGAGCUUCCAUGCCACUACCUUGCCCUGUGGCAGCAGAAGGUAGCACUCUAAUUUCUCCUUCCUCCUGGGGUGGGGCCAGCCAGGGCCUUAACCUUCCCAGCAGGGAGCUUAUCUUCCAUUUCUUGCCUGGUGGAAGCAGGCAGCACUCUAAUUCUCCUGCUGAGUGAUGCCAGCAUGUUGUUCCAUCCCCUACCCAGCGCAACCAGCAGGUGCUCCGAUUCUCCCGCAGGGACAGUGUUAGUGAAGCUGAGCAGGGACCUGGUCUUCUAUCUCCCAGUCUUCCAGCUGCCUAGUGGUAGCAGGUGGUGCUCUGAUUCCCCAAGCAGGAUAGUGUUAGUGGGAUCCAGCUGGGAGCCGAGCCUCCACCGCAGGAGGCAUCGAUGAGGCUGAAUGAGGUGGUAGGAGCUAGGGCUAGUUGGCACUCUGCUUCCUCCCAUCUGUUUUCCUGGUGUCAGAGGGGUGCAGCGGGGAGAGAAAGCUGCCUACCCUGCAGCAACAAAGAGGUCUAUGCCCAAGAGGAAUGAAAACCAUGGCGUGCCGAGCUUUGCCAUGUCCACACCCGGGAUCCGAACCAGUGAACCCCGGGCUGCCAAGAAGCAGAACUUGUGCACUUACCCGCAGCACCACUGGGCCGGCCCCUUGAGGUCAUUUGACUUGAGAGUCCACAACUCAGUUUCCUUCAAGACUCAGGAUUUCAGAUGGUAGUGGAAAGAUGAACUCCAUGAACCAUUCCUGCAAAUGGCUGAAAGCUGGCACAAGAAAGACCAAGUUUGCAAAACAAUUUUGUUGACAUCAUGGCAUUGAAGUCUUUCAAAAAUUUUGUGAAAGAAGAACAAUUACCCCCAGUUCGGAAAUUGGAAAACUGAACCUCAGAGAGGCUAAGUCCUGCGUCCAGAGCAAGAAUGUGAAUUCAUACCCAUAUCUGACACUCUUUCAACUGAACUACAGUUUGCUCAGUGAACAGUCUGGAGUUUAGUGUUUGGAGAUAAGGAUGAUAGGGAGAAGUGAGUGGAGGAAGUGACUCUUCAGCUGGGUAUCUUCAGAUUCAGUUGCCUCUUUGAAAUGCCAUUUUGCCUCUUUAAAAAGGGAAAUUCUGUGCUACCCUAAACAUUCUUUGAAUACAAAAUGCAAAUGACCAACCUUGUCCAAUGCUUUCAUUGUGCAGAUAAGGAACCAGAAGUCUAGAGAUAAUAAUAAGGAACAGCUAUCUUCUCACCUGUGUUGCUGCAUUCAACCUGAUGUGACACAAUGUGUCAUGUGGCCUCCUCAAAAUCCGCUGCAAAAUUCACUGGAUGCUCAUGAAAGAAGCAGAGUGAAAAAGACAAAUUAG